RNAcentral lists this transfer RNA (72 nucleotides) under Bos taurus (domestic cattle). It matches the Rfam family "tRNA". Rfam says of the family: Transfer RNA (tRNA) molecules are approximately 80 nucleotides in length. Their secondary structure includes four short double-helical elements and three loops (D, anti-codon, and T loops). Lineage: Eukaryota; Metazoa; Chordata; Mammalia; Artiodactyla; Bovidae. The record is from Rfam by way of RNAcentral. RNAcentral also lists the same sequence under 2 other names.
UCCCUGGUAGCUCAGCUGGUGAAGAAUCCGCCUGCAAUGCGGGAGACCUGGGUUCGAUCCCUAGGUUGGGAG